GGAAGAUCCAGGAGCAGUCAGGUCUCCAUGGCAGGGGAAGGACCAGGAGCAGUCAGGUCUCCAUGGCAGGACAGCACCAGGAGCAGUCAGGUCUCCAUGGCAGGACAGCCAGGAGCAGUCAGGUCUCCAUGGCAGGACAGCCCUGCCAGGCUCCCCUGGGCCACGAGCUGGGACAGGCAGGGAAGAGCCUGGAAGGGUGAAGGGAAGAGAGGGACCCAGAUGGAAACAGGCAGCAGGGAAGAAAAGCCA
Molecule: long non-coding RNA, 249 nt
Organism: Passer domesticus (house sparrow)
Lineage: Eukaryota; Metazoa; Chordata; Aves; Passeriformes; Passeridae
Exons: 3
Source: RefSeq, a predicted model, not a curated record